This 501-nucleotide ribosomal RNA is filed under the name uncultured Burkholderiales bacterium. RNAcentral describes it as "bacterial SSU rRNA". It matches the Rfam family "Bacterial small subunit ribosomal RNA", at positions 55 to 556 of the family's 1533-position model. Lineage: Bacteria; Pseudomonadati; Pseudomonadota; Betaproteobacteria; Burkholderiales. The record is from RNAcentral.
AUGCAAGUCGAACGGUAGAGGGGGCAACCCCUUGAGAGUGGCGAACGGGUGCGUAUAUAUCGGAACGUGCCCAGUCGUGGGGGAUAACGUAUUGAAAAUUACGCUAAUACCGCAUACGAUCUAAGGAUGAAAGCGGGGGAUCGCAAGACCUCGCGCGACUGGAGCGGCCGAUAUCAGAUUAGGUAGUUGGUAGGGUAAAGGCCUACCAAGCCAACGAUCUGUAGCUGGUCUGAGAGGACGACCAGCCACACUGGAACUGAGACACGGUCCACACUCCUACGGGAGGCAGCAGUGGGGAAUUUUGGACAAUGGGCGAAAGCCUGAUCCAGCCAUUCCGCGUGCAGGAUGAAGGCCCUCGGGUUGUAAACUGCUUUUGUACAGAACGAAAAGGUUUCUAUUAAUACUACGAGCUCAUGACGGUACUGUAAGAAUAAGCACCGGCUAACUACCUGCCAGCAGCCGCGGGAAUACGUAGGGUGCAAGCGUUAAUCGGAAUUACUG